GCCAAUGACCCGGAGGUGUUUGUUCAGGC
RNAcentral lists this non-coding RNA (29 nucleotides) under Homo sapiens (human). The record is from RNAcentral. Lineage: Eukaryota; Metazoa; Chordata; Mammalia; Primates; Hominidae.